GAGUUUGAUCAUGGCUCAGAUUGAACGCUGGCGGCAUGCCUUACACAUGCAAGUCGAACGGCAGCACGGGGGCUUGCUCCUGGUGGCGAGUGGCGAACGGGUGAGUAAUGCAUCGGAACGUAUCCUGGAGUGGGGGAUAACGUAGCGAAAGUUACGCUAAUACCGCAUAUUCUGUGAGCAGGAAAGCGGGGGACCUUCGGGCCUCGCGCUCUUGGAGCGGCCGAUGUCGGAUUAGCUAGUUGGUGAGGUAAAGGCUCACCAAGGCGACGAUCCGUAGCAGGUCUGAGAGGAUGAUCUGCCACACUGGAACUGAGACACGGUCCAGACUCCUACGGGAGGCAGCAGUGGGAAUUUUGGACAAUGGGGGCAACCCUGAUCCAGCCAUGCCGCGUGAGUGAAGAAGGCCUUCGGUU
RNAcentral lists this ribosomal RNA (413 nucleotides) under bacterium enrichment culture clone ALO1_GLFRUDD03GISSI. Its description in RNAcentral is "bacterial SSU rRNA". It matches the Rfam family "Bacterial small subunit ribosomal RNA", at positions 9 to 423 of the family's 1533-position model. The record is from RNAcentral.